AUAAAGAAGGGAAGAAGGAAGUGGACCCCUUCUCUCUUCCUCCAGAGUCACCAUGUGAUCCCAGGAUGCCAAUGGAAGGCGUCCAAUAAGAUCAAUAGCUCUGGAAGCCAUCUGAAAUGUAAUUUGCUACACCACUUGGACAUUCUGAUUCCAUUGGUAUCAGUGGCAUUUCAGGUCACUAAGUGCUAUCCAAUUUAUUUGUAUUCCGGUGCCACUCCAGUGAAGCAUGCCUCUCUGUCAGCUGAGUGUAAGAUGCAGGUGCUCAGCACUUGGAAGCCAUGCCAUGAACAAAUCGACGGUAUCAGCAGCAGCCAGCCAUCCUGUAGACAAUUUCCAAGUAACGACUGGAGAAGAGUUCUCAAAAUUUUUUAGCAGUCCUAACUUCAGUUUUCCCUGGAAAAUCUGAGAUCACUUUCUUGGACUUUGUUAAACUGUCAUAUUUUAUUCCAACUCUCCUUAAUCCUAUUGAAUAUCUAUUUGGUAUUUUAUUUCCAUAAGUAGUUCCUUUAUCACACUGAAAAUAGAGUCUGGUAUAAUUAUGAUUCUUAUAAACAAUUAUCUUUAAUCAUAUUGAUGAUGAAUUUCAAUAAAAUGUUAUUUCUGAAA
Molecule: long non-coding RNA, 606 nt
Filed under: Cricetulus griseus (Chinese hamster)
Lineage: Eukaryota; Metazoa; Chordata; Mammalia; Rodentia; Cricetidae
Description: lncRNA (ENSCGRG00015034927.1)
Source: RNAcentral